CAAAUGUACACAUGAUAAAAUAUCCCAUUUUCUUGAAAUAUUCCUUCUAAUGUACUAAUUAUUAUCAUAUAUGCCGGCCGACCCUUGCAAGAAAUAUGCGUGUGAGAUCCAGAGGUGUCUAGUUGGAGGUUCGCUGCGACGCCGUGUUCGAGGCUAUGCGCCAGUGCUGCCUUAAACACAAGCCCGUGUCUCUGGUGUGUUCCGGAUACGACCUAAAUCCGAGAGAGUUCGCCCCUGUCACUGACAGGCCCAAUCAGAACUUGCAGAA
Cydia amplana is the source of this 268-nucleotide long non-coding RNA. RefSeq lists it as uncharacterized. The record is from RefSeq and is a predicted model, not a curated record. Lineage: Eukaryota; Metazoa; Arthropoda; Insecta; Lepidoptera; Tortricidae. The transcript is spliced from 2 exons.